Molecule: ribosomal RNA, 989 nt
Filed under: Bacillus aerophilus
Lineage: Bacteria; Bacillati; Bacillota; Bacilli; Caryophanales; Bacillaceae
Description: bacterial SSU rRNA
Rfam family: Bacterial small subunit ribosomal RNA
Source: RNAcentral
GGGAAGUGACGUUGUCGGAUAUUGGGCGUAAGGGCUCGCAGGCGGUUUCUUAAGUCUGAUGUGAAAGCCCCCGGCUCAACCGGGGAGGGUCAUUGGAAACUGGGAAACUUGAGUGCAGAAGAGGAAAGUGGAAUUCCACGUGUAGCGGUGAAAUGCGUAGAGAUGUGGAGGAACACCAGUGGCGAAGGCGACUCUCUGGUCUGUAACUGACGCUGAGGAGCGAAAGCGUGGGGAGCGAACAGGAUUAGAUACCCUGGUAGUCCACGCCGUAAACGAUGAGUGCUAAGUGUUAGGGGGUUUCCGCCCCUUAGUGCUGCAGCUAACGCAUUAAGCACUCCGCCUGGGGAGUACGGUCGCAAGACUGAAACUCAAAGGAAUUGACGGGGGCCCGCACAAGCGGUGGAGCAUGUGGUUUAAUUCGAAGCAACGCGAAGAACCUUACCAGGUCUUGACAUCCUCUGACAACCCUAGAGAUAGGGCUUUCCCUUCGGGGACAGAGUGACAGGUGGUGCAUGGUUGUCGUCAGCUCGUGUCGUGAGAUGUUGGGUUAAGUCCCGCAACGAGCGCAACCCUUGAUCUUAGUUGCCAGCAUUCAGUUGGGCACUCUAAGGUGACUGCCGGUGACAAACCGGAGGAAAGUGGGGAUGACGUCAAAUCAUCAUGCCCCUUAUGACCUGGGCUACACACGUGCUACAAUGGACAGAACAAAGGGCUGCGAGACCGCAAGGUUUAGCCAAUCCCACAAAUCUGUUCUCAGUUCGGAUCGCAGUCUGCAACUCGACUGCGUGAAGCUGGAAUCGCUAGUAAUCGCGGAUCAGCAUGCCGCGGGUGAAUACGUUCCCGGGCCUUGUACACACCGCCCGUCACACCACGAGAGUUUGCAACACCCGAAGUCGGUGAGGUAACCUUUAUGGAGCCAGCCGCCCAAAGUGGGGCAGAUGAUUGGGGUGAUCACCAAAAGGGGGGGCAAACAAAAAAAAAGGGCCGGA